AUCAAAAACAUGUCCUUUAGAAAAUUGAUUAAAGGUCCAAUCUGCUCAAUGAUUUUAAUUAAAUAGCUGCAGUAUACUGACUGUACAAAGGUAGCAAAGUAAAUAGUUUAUUAAUUGUGAACUUGAAUGAAGGAUUUGAUAAGAAAUUGACUUUUUUUUCUUUAUUUUAAUUUAACUUAAUUUUUAAGUUAAAAUUCUUAAAUAAUGUUAUGGGACGAGAAGACCCUGUAGAUUUUUAUAUUUAUAAUUUAAUAGGUGGUUAUUAAUAGUAUUAAACUAUAAAUAUUUGAAUGGGGAAUUCUUUAAAUUAUGUAAUUUUAAUUAAUUAUAUUCAAAUAUUUUUGUUUGGGUGAAUAAAAUUCAUUAUAGAUAAAAAUACCUCAGGGAUAACAGCGUAAUUGAUUAUGAGAGAUCAUAUUUUAUAGUUUGGUUGCGACCUCGAUGUUG
This 447-nucleotide ribosomal RNA is filed under the name Trissevania anemotis. RNAcentral describes it as "partial 16S ribosomal RNA". The record is from RNAcentral. Lineage: Eukaryota; Metazoa; Arthropoda; Insecta; Hymenoptera; Evaniidae.